RNAcentral lists this small nucleolar RNA (107 nucleotides) under Gossypium arboreum. RNAcentral describes it as "Plant small nucleolar RNA R71". It matches the Rfam family "Plant small nucleolar RNA R71". Rfam says of the family: R71 is a member of the C/D box family of snoRNAs containing the C (UGAUGA) and D (CUGA) box motifs. The record is from Rfam by way of RNAcentral. Lineage: Eukaryota; Viridiplantae; Streptophyta; Magnoliopsida; Malvales; Malvaceae.
AAUCCAUGGUGAGGUCGCCUUCUUAAUAAGUCCUUGUAUCUCUGCCAUGCAUCAUAAAGAGUUUCUAGAUCCAUCUGAACAAAAGAAGAGAUGUCAUUCCUCAAUUU